RNAcentral lists this long non-coding RNA (1172 nucleotides) under Homo sapiens (human). RNAcentral's name for it is "long non-coding RNA NONHSAT220390.1". Lineage: Eukaryota; Metazoa; Chordata; Mammalia; Primates; Hominidae. The record is from RNAcentral.
CUCCUUGUACCGGUAGCGGGGUUGGGGACGGAAGCCUUCGGUCGGUGGAGAGGAGAAAGGGAGAGGCCUUCGGGCGGUGGACGGGGAAGAGAGGGAGUCCUUCGGGCGGUGGAGGGGGUGGAGAGCGAGGCCUUCGGGCGGUGGAGAGCGGGGAGGGGGGAGGCCUUCGGGCGGUGGGAGGGGGAGAGAGGGAGGCCUUUGGGCGGUGGGGGCCACGGGGAGGGUGGUCUUCGGACUACGUGCGGGACAGGAGGUCAGGGCUGGCAAGUCCCUCAGGCCUCCCUCGUUGCCCCAGCCUCGCGGGCCGCCUAACUGCCCCGUUCCAAGGGUGCCACCGGACCCCGCUGGAGAGGAACUUCUCCGUUGGCUGGAUUUCAUCACCACCCAUUCCCGAUUCCACGUUUCCUUUAAGCGGGGCUGGCGGAGCCGCAAGGCGGCAAGGAACUGGAUUGCGAUUGGUCAGCACGUGCCUCGGUCGGCGGUACAAUUGGCUGAGGCGCUGGGCCUUGGGAAGCAUUCCCCGACGGGAUUGGUCGUCGCUCUCGCAGAGCCCGCCUCCCGCAGUACAAGCGGCCCCCGGGUCGGGUGGGAGGAGGGGACUCCGGGAGGAGGAACAUGGCGGUGGCGGACCUCGCUCUCAUUCCUGAUGUGGACAUCGACUCCGACGGCGUCUUCAAGUAUGUGCUGAUCCGAGUCCACUCGGCUCCCCGCUCCGGGGCUCCGGCUGCAGAGAGCAAGGAGAUCGUGCGCGGCUACAACGGACAUCUACGACAAAGUGUCGGGCGACAUGCAGAAGCAAGGCUGCGACUGUGAGUGUCUGGGCGGCGGGCGCAUCUCCCACCAGAGUCAGGACAAGAAGAUUCACGUGUACGGCUAUUCCAUGGCCUAUGGUCCUGCCCAGCACGCCAUUUCAACUGAGAAAAUCAAAGCCAAGUACCCCGACUACGAGGUCACCUGGGCUAACGACGGCUACUGAGCACUCCCAGCCCGGGGCCUGCUGCCUCCAGCAGCCACUUCAGAGCCCCCGCCUUUGCCUGCACUCCUCUUGCAGGGCUGGCCCUGCCUGCUCCUGCGGCAGCCUCUGGUGACGUGCUGUCCACCAGGCCUUGGAGACAGGCUAGCCUGGCCACAGAAUUAAACGUGUUGCCACACCUGCCGGCUUCUGAACUCUG